RNAcentral lists this ribosomal RNA (254 nucleotides) under uncultured bacterium. RNAcentral's name for it is "partial 16S ribosomal RNA". It matches the Rfam family "Bacterial small subunit ribosomal RNA", at positions 524 to 776 of the family's 1533-position model. The record is from RNAcentral.
UACGGGGGGAGCAAGCGUUGUUCGGAUUUACUGGGCGUAAAGGGCGCGUAGGCGGCCAGCACAAGUCAGUUGUGAAAUCUCCGAGCUUAACUCGGAAAGGUCAACUGAUACUGUGCGGCUAGAGUGCGGGAGGGGCAACUGGAAUUCUUGGUGUAGCGGUGAAAUGCGUAGAUAUCAAGAGGAACACCUGCGGCGAGGGCGGGUUGCUGGGCCGACACUGACGCUGAUGCGCGAAAGCCAGGGGAGCGAACGGG